Molecule: non-coding RNA, 654 nt
Organism: Nerophis lumbriciformis (worm pipefish)
Lineage: Eukaryota; Metazoa; Chordata; Actinopteri; Syngnathiformes; Syngnathidae
Source: RefSeq, a predicted model, not a curated record
GAGAAGGUAAUAGUUCUUCACUGCUCUGUGUUUCUUCAUAUUGUAAAUAUUCUUCCUAAACGUUCCUAGAUACUUGAAAAGUUAACCCAAUAUUGUUGUGGGUACAAGUGAUGUGUUGUUUUGAGUAAUUUUUAUGCACAAUUUCGAUUAUUUAGACGUAGAGCGUCGACUGUGUGAAUUGUUUGGUAGUAUUUACGCAUGGUAUUUACAUCACACAGGAGCAGAUAUCACUCCGCCAGAAAGUUGAGACCUGUGUGUGUGUGUUUCGUGUUUCCAACACAGGUAUGUGGAUUUGUGCAUUAUUAUUAUUUUGUGAGAAAACGUUUUUGUUUAUGUAAUUUAAUUUAUUAUUAUUUUUAUAUGAAUGAAUGAAUGUUACUUCCUCUUCCUUCGGACUUUUGAAUGAGAAGGAGCAGAUAUCACUCCGCCAGAAAGUUGAGACCUGUGUGUGUGUGUUUCGUGUUUCCAACACAGGUUUCCAAUAAAUACUGAACCGACGGCAUGGUGCUGUGAGAAAAAAUGUGGUGACAAGGUCAGCCACGGAAGCUGAGGUCACCAAACACGCGAUCAGGUGGUUCAACCUGGCGGCGGAUCGGGCAGCGAGGAGACGAUCAGGAGGAAUAGAAAUUUAUCAAUAAACAACCUUUUUUUGAA